This is a long non-coding RNA of Piliocolobus tephrosceles (Ugandan red Colobus), 2275 nucleotides long. NCBI's taxonomy places the organism in Eukaryota, Metazoa, Chordata, Mammalia, Primates, Cercopithecidae. The record is from Ensembl.
UAUUAUUAUUUAUUUUAUUUGACCGACUCCAAUACGAACAGUUGUACGAAAGUAAAAAAGAAAGAACACGAUAGACAAGGGUAUGAACGUUAUUUAAAAAAAAAGGAUGACUUAUUAAUAAUAAAAAAAAAAAAAAAAAAAAAAGUGUAAACAUGACUAUAUGUAUGAUGUAUCGACUAGUGCUUAUGUCGUGAGGGAAGAUAAAGAAGUUCAAAAAGAUGAGAACAUGGGGUUAAAAUUAGGGAAAAAAGUAAAUCAUGAUAAAAAUAAUACAAUUAACCAAAGUAAUACACAUAUCGCAACAACUACCAUGAUUAUUCUAAGAAAAAUACGAAACAAACAUGUAUAUUACCGUACAUGUAGCAACUUUAAAGUAAAUGUGCAUGUUAACUCCAUUCAAACUUGUUUUGUUUAUAACAACAAUGAAUGCAUUGUUAUUUAUCUAAAAAGGCUAUACAUGUUCGCACAUAUACAAAAGGAUAAACUCGAGCGCAUAAAGGAAAAUCAUUUUAAUCACCCUUUUUUUUUGUUCGCAUUUAGAAAGAACGAACAAAAAAAGGAAGGGGGAGAUAUAAACUGGGGCGAAGGAAAUGGGAUCGAGAAAGAAGUUGAGAAAGAAGUUGAGAAAGAAGUUGAGGGAAAAGACGAAGCCAGAGACGAAGCCAGAGACGAAGCCAGAGACGAAGCCGAAGUCGGGGCCAAAGACAAGGGCAAAGGGAAAGUCAAAAUUGCUUACUCAUUAAACGAUUUCACUUUCGUUUUAAAUAACAUUUAUAUAAUAGAAUCCUACUCUAAAGCGUACUUAACUAUGAAAAGUGAAAAAAAGGAACCUGUUUUAUCCAAAAAAAAAGAAACAAAAGGACUAUCAUCUAAGAAGGUCGUAUUUAAUAGCAAUUAUGAAUCUGUGCUGUUACACAAAUUUAACUUGAAUUUUGAAAAUAAUGUAAUAAGCACUAAUCGACUAGCUAAGAUGAAUAAUAGGAACGAAAAAAAAAAUAGGAAAAGUUGCAUGUACAUUCGAGUAUGUAACAAGCAGAAUGAAAAAAUGAUUAACGUAAAUGUGCAUAUUGAAAAUGUAAAGUUGAUUAUUCAACGCCUGAAUAAUUUAUAUUUUUUAAUUGACAGUUUUUUAGAAAAGGAUUUAUUUUUAAUUUGUUAUUCAUUUGGUAAGAAUAAUAAUAACAAUAAUAAUAAUAAUAAUAAUAAUAACAAUAAUAAUAAUAAUAAUAAUAAUAAUAACAAUAAUAAUAAUAAUAAUAAUAAUAAUAAUAACAAUAAUAAUAAUAAUAAAAGCAAAGUGUACAACCGUAAAUGUGUGGAUAUAUAUAUAUCCAAUAAAGGACGCAAAAAUAAUAUCGUUAACCUAGACUUGAGCAUAAAUAAAAUAAAAAUCGAAUUAAAAAAUAAUAACACAGAAAGUAUCUUUUUUUGUUUAAGUAACACUAUUUUUUAUUAUGCUAAUAAACGUGUUAGUAAUAUAAAAAAUUUAGGCACCAUUCGAACUGAAUCUAAUAGUACUAUUAAUUUUAAAAAGUUAAAAAUGAAUAGACAUAAAAUGGAUAUAAAAAAAAAGGAACGAUUUCUAUCAGGAGGGGGAGUAAUGCCCAUAUUAAGAGAAGAAUAUAUCGUACAAACACAUCAAAAACAAUCUGUAUAUAAUAUUUAUUUCAAAGUAACAAACAUUUAUUCAUAUAUCCAAAGUAAUAAGAAAACGCAUAUUGUUAUUUUUCCUUUUUGUUUUUUUUUUACAUUAUAUAAAUCAUUUUCAUAUAAGGUAAAUAUAAAUGUAGUGUCAUUAAUAGUAGAGUUAAACAUACAUGUUUUAACACUAUUAAAAAAAAUAUUUUCUUUUCAUAAAAAACCGAAAGUAGAGAAACUAAAGGGGCAACAUAAUAGUUACGUGAAGGAUGAAGAAAAAGUAGCGGAUGUUGUGAUAUAUAAAAGAAAUGUAUACCAUGAUGUUAAAAAUUGUUUAAUAGAAGACAAUUUAUACAAAAAUGACCUGAUCAAUUAUUUUUUUACUAUGAACAAGUCACACAAAAUGAUUAAACAAUAUAUAUGUAAAAAUGCUAAUAGUAUUAACUUAAAGAGUGAGUUAUAUAAAUGCUUGAGUUGUUUAGAUAUAUAUUUCUAUGAUGUUGAUAAAAUAAAUAAUAAUGAAGAAUCUUAUAUAGGGUCUACGUCGAAGUUCAGUUUGAAAUCGUUUUUUAAUUUGUUAAAAGAUGUAGAAAUUGAACUUGACUGUGCGCACGUUCUUUUUUUUUUUUUCUUCGAC